This 146-nucleotide small RNA is filed under the name Podarcis lilfordi (Lilford's wall lizard). Lineage: Eukaryota; Metazoa; Chordata; Lepidosauria; Squamata; Lacertidae. The record is from RNAcentral.
AUUCCUUCCAGUAGCACCUUAGAGACCAACUAAGUUUGUCAUUGGUAUGAGCUUUCGUGUGCAUGCACACUUCUUUAGAAGAAGUGACAAACUUAGUUGGUCUCUAAGGUGCUACUGGAAGGAAUUUUUUUAUUUUUUUUUUACUA